GCAACAAAAACAUUUAGGGGCUUGGGCUUAACCCUAUCCCACGCUCCUGUUCCACCACCUACCCGCUCCUGCUCUCGGUCACGUCCCAUCGGUUGGAAGCGUGAUAUGUGGAGGGGAGGACGAAGCAUUACGUCCUUCUCUCACCAGAAAACGUCCAAACAAACCCUUAUCCUCCUAGGCCCAAUAGGACUUCUAUUCAAAUUAGAAUCGAGUCCGCGAAGAAAAUAAUAGCGAGGCGCGCAGAAGGCCCAGCCAUGGGUGAAAAUGGCUAACUAGAAGCUUGGUACGCCCUAGUCUACCUCUACUCUAUUAUUCAUUUCAUGUUUAUUUGUUUUAAGUUGAUGUAUUCGUAAAAAUUGUAUUAAACUCAUAUUAUAGUGGAACCUUAUGUUUUGAA
Lycium barbarum (goji berry) is the source of this 397-nucleotide long non-coding RNA. RefSeq lists it as uncharacterized. The transcript is spliced from 2 exons. Lineage: Eukaryota; Viridiplantae; Streptophyta; Magnoliopsida; Solanales; Solanaceae. The record is from RefSeq and is a predicted model, not a curated record.